ACCAGCGCCCGUUUAAUAUUUGCUAAUGAUGGAUUAAUUAGGUUUAAUAGAUUCGUCUCACCGUUUAGCCUCCACUUAUGUAAUGGGUUUUGUAAAUAGUCUACGUUUAAUACUCCUAAUUAGUAUCUAAACAUUCGAUGUGACACGUGCUAAAAAUAAGCAAAGGGAACCAAACGUCCCCUUGCGUUGCCCUUCGCGGGGUUGGACCGUUCAAAAGCAAAACCUGAAUGAU
This 232-nucleotide long non-coding RNA is filed under the name Setaria italica (foxtail millet). RNAcentral describes it as "long non-coding RNA (SITA_LNC000635)". The record is from RNAcentral. Lineage: Eukaryota; Viridiplantae; Streptophyta; Magnoliopsida; Poales; Poaceae.